RNAcentral lists this ribosomal RNA (482 nucleotides) under uncultured bacterium. RNAcentral's name for it is "partial 16S ribosomal RNA". It matches the Rfam family "Bacterial small subunit ribosomal RNA", at positions 28 to 507 of the family's 1533-position model. The record is from RNAcentral.
GAUGAACGCUCGCGGCAGGCCUAAUACAUGCAAGUCGAACGAGAUUAAGAGGCUUGCUUCUUAUGAAAGUGGCGCACGGGUGCGUAACGCGUAUGCAACCUACCUUAAUCAGGGGGAUAGCCCGAAGAAAUUCGGAUUAAGACCGCAUAAAAACACAGGAUAGCAUUAUCCAAUGUUCAAAUAUUUAUAGGAUUAAGAUGGGCAUGCGUGUCAUUAGCUAGUUGGCGGGGUAACGGCCCACCAAGGCGACGAUGACUAGGGGAUCUGAGAGGAUGACCCCCCACACUGGUACUGAGACACGGACCAGACUCCUACGGGAGGCAGCAGUAAGGAAUAUGGGUCAAUGGAGGGAACUCUGAACCAGCCAUGCCGCGUGCAGGAAGACAGCCCUCUGGGUCGUAAACUGCUUUUAUUCGGGAAUAAACCUUUCUACGUGUAGGAAGCUGAAUGUACCGAAGGAAUAAGAAUCGGCUAACUCCGUG